GGCUCAGGAUGAACGCUAGCGGCAGGCUUAACACAUGCAAGUCGAGGGGCAGCACGUCUUCGGAUGGUGGCGACCGGCGCACGGGUGCGUAACGCGUAUAGAACCUAUCUUUUACAGGGGAAUAGCCCAGAGAAAUUUGGAUUAAUGCCCCAUAGUAUUAUUGAAUGGCAUCAUUUAAUAAUUAAACAUUUAUGGGUAAAAGAUGGCUAUGCGUUCUAUUAGCUAGUAGGUAAGGUAACGGCUUACCUAGGCAACGAUAGAUAGGGGUCCUGAGAGGGAGAUCCCCCACACUGGUACUGAGACACGGACCAGACUCCUACGGGAGGCAGCAGUGAGGAAUAUUGGACAAUGGGCGAGAGCCUGAUCCAGCCAUGCCGCGUGCAGGAAGACGGUCCUAUGGAUUGUAAACUGCUUUUAUACAGGAAGAAACACUCGGACGUGUCCGAGCUUGACGGUACUGUAUGAAUAAGCACCGGCUAACUCCGUG
RNAcentral lists this ribosomal RNA (487 nucleotides) under uncultured bacterium. Its description in RNAcentral is "bacterial SSU rRNA". It matches the Rfam family "Bacterial small subunit ribosomal RNA", at positions 21 to 507 of the family's 1533-position model. The record is from RNAcentral.